UCAUAGUGAUCCGGUGGUUCUGAAUGGAAGGGCCAUCGCUCAACGGAUAAAAGGUACUCCGGGGAUAACAGGCUGAUACCGCCCAAGAGUUCAUAUCGACGGCGGUGUUUGGCACCUCGAUGUCGGCUCAUCACAUCCUGGGGCUGAAGUAGGUCCCAAGGGUAUGGCUGUUCGCCAUUUAAAGUGGUACGCGAGCUGGGUUUAGAACGUCGUGAGACAGUUCGGUCCCUAUCUGCCGUGGGCGCUGGAGAACUGAGGGGGGCUGCUCCUAGUACGAGAGGACCGGAGUGGACGCAUCACUGGUGUUCGGGUUGUCAUGCCAAUGGCACUGCCCGGUAGCUAAAUGCGGAAGAGAUAAGUGCUGAAAGCAUCUAAGCACGAAACUUGCCCCGAGAUGAGUUCUCCCUGACU
Molecule: ribosomal RNA, 411 nt
Filed under: Escherichia coli
Lineage: Bacteria; Pseudomonadati; Pseudomonadota; Gammaproteobacteria; Enterobacterales; Enterobacteriaceae
Description: partial 23S ribosomal RNA
Rfam family: Bacterial large subunit ribosomal RNA
Source: RNAcentral